RNAcentral lists this transfer RNA (77 nucleotides) under Oscillochloris sp. RNAcentral's name for it is "tRNA-Leu". It matches the Rfam family "tRNA". Rfam says of the family: Transfer RNA (tRNA) molecules are approximately 80 nucleotides in length. Their secondary structure includes four short double-helical elements and three loops (D, anti-codon, and T loops). Lineage: Bacteria; Bacillati; Chloroflexota; Chloroflexia; Chloroflexales; Oscillochloridaceae. The record is from RNAcentral.
GCUCUCGUAGCCCAAUCGGCAGAGGCCGCCGGCUCAAACCCGGCCCAGUGCUGGUUCGAAUCCAGCCGGGAGCACCA